AUCGCUUCUCGGCCUUUUGGCUAAGAUCAAGUGUAAAAUUAAAAUCAUCCAGGGAACUUCUGAUGAUCAGUUUAUUCGCCCAAACCAACAGAAACAUAAUCUUUAAAGGUGGAGCCUGAGUAUUAGCUUUUUAAAUUUUUAACUCACAUGUACUCAAAACUGCAAGGUUUACAAACCCCCAGCCUUGUCCAACCUCUU
Fukomys damarensis (Damara mole-rat) is the source of this 198-nucleotide non-coding RNA. The record is from Rfam. Lineage: Eukaryota; Metazoa; Chordata; Mammalia; Rodentia; Bathyergidae.